This 855-nucleotide ribosomal RNA is filed under the name uncultured bacterium. RNAcentral's name for it is "bacterial SSU rRNA". It matches the Rfam family "Bacterial small subunit ribosomal RNA", at positions 62 to 932 of the family's 1533-position model. The record is from RNAcentral.
UCGAGCGAUGAGAUCCCUUCGGGGAUGGAUUAGCGGCGAACGGGUGAGGAACACGUGAGGAAUCUACCUUCUACUCUGGGAUAACUCCGGGAAACCGGGGCUAAUACCGGAUAUGAAAUCCGAUGGCAUCAUUGGGUUUGGAAAGUUUUUCGGUAGAAGAUGACCUCGCGGCCUAUCAGCUUGUUGGUGAGGUAAUGGCUCACCAAGGCGACGACGGGUAGCCGGCCUGAGAGGGCGACCGGCCACACUGGGACUGAGACACGGCCCAGACUCCUACGGGAGGCAGCAGUGGGGAAUAUUGGGCAAUGGAGGAAACUCUGACCCAGCGACGCCGCGUGCGGGAUGAAGGCCUUCGGGUUGUAAACCGCUUUCAGCAGAGAAGAAGCGAAAGUGACGGUAUCUGCAGAAGAAGCACCGGCUAACUAUGUGCCAGCAGCCGCGGUAAUACAUAGGGUGCAAGCGUUGUCCGGAAUUAUUGGGCGUAAAGAGCUCGUAGGUGGUUCAUUACGUCGGAUGUGAAAAUCUGGGGCUCAACCCCAGACCUGCAUUCGAUACGGGUGAUCUAGAGUGUGGUAGGGGAGACUGGAAUUCCUGGUGUAGCGGUGGAAUGCGCAGAUAUCAGGAGGAACACCAAUGGCGAAGGCAGGUCUCUGGGCCAUUACUGACACUGAGGAGCGAAAGCGUGGGGAGCGAACAGGAUUAGAUACCCUGGUAGUCCACGCCGUAAACGGUGGGCACUAGUUGUGGGAACCUUCCACGGUUUCUGCGACGCAGCUAACGCAUUAAGUGCCCCGCCUGGGGAGUACGAUCGCAAGAUUAAAACUCAAAGGAAUUGACGGGGCCCCGCACAAGCAG